Molecule: non-coding RNA, 74 nt
Organism: Otolemur garnettii (small-eared galago)
Lineage: Eukaryota; Metazoa; Chordata; Mammalia; Primates; Galagidae
Source: Rfam
GCGCCUGUGGCUCAAAGGAAUAGGGCGCUGGCCCCAUAUGCCAGAGGUGGUAGGUUCAAACCCAGCCAGGGUCA